Molecule: long non-coding RNA, 1115 nt
Organism: Apus apus (common swift)
Lineage: Eukaryota; Metazoa; Chordata; Aves; Apodiformes; Apodidae
Exons: 3
Source: RefSeq, a predicted model, not a curated record
AGCCUCGGUGCAGGCAGCCUCGCUGGCGCUCUGGGGGAAUUUCAGGGAAGCGGCGCCGGGGCCCCGCACCCUCCGGCUGCUCCCACCGAGCCCCCUGCUGUCGGCAUGGCCCCGGGGUGCUGCUGGAGCCCCGCACCCCCCGCUGCCUGCCAGAGUUCAUCGCGUCCUUCUGAUGUUCUGCAACGGGCAGCAAAACCUCCCUGGAGAUGAGGGCUUUCAUUUUCAGCACUGCAUGAUUUACCUUCCUCAAUUCCAAAGGAGCACAUAUUUCCUCCCGGAGGAUUAAGCCAAGCCAGGAGCCCAGCCAGGCGCUGCCACUGCAAAGAGCAACGAGGACAAGAUUUCCUGCCAACCCCAGCACAGCCUCCUCAACCUGCUGCCCCUGGGACAAACCAGGAGACUCUUCUAAAUGGCCCCACGGGACCAUUUUAGAGUUUAAAAAAACCCCAGGAUCCCAGGGAACUGAGCUCAACACUGCUUAAUGCUCCUCACCUCCAACUAUGUGCAUUGCUGGUAGUAUAUUGGAAAUAUUUUAAAAACAGCGUUUGAUAAUCUUCUACAUGAACAUUCCCCUCAAGAGGUAUGUUGUUAGCACCAGCCGUGCAGAGCAGUAGAGCUCUGACUCGUUGUCAGAUUUGCCACAGGUUCAAAUGUGCCUCUCUCCUGGUGUGCCAGUUUGCACCACUAUCUUGACGGGAUGGUGAUAGUCCAGGACGUGCUCAGAAAUCUACUUCAGACUCAUUACUCUCUGUAAUAUCAUCUGCCAUCCUGCAAAACAGAGCAGUGCAUAAUUAAACAUUUAAAUCUUCUCCAGAUGGUAGGAGAAGCUCUCUCCUUGGAAGGAAGGCACAGGGGAGGAGGCAGGGUUUCUUGGCUCUGCUGUGGAUGCAGCAAAACCCUGCGCUCGAGCCAAGACAGGCCUCGAGACACCUUUAAAUUGAUUGAACAGAAUCAGUCAGCAAUCACAGAAAUGUCAGGCAGUGCUUUAAUGCAUUCAGAGUGUAUCAUUUUCUGACCUCUGCUAACCCAGGCAUCGAUUAGUUCAGAGGCUUCCUUUACCCAGGGGAAUACACACUGUUUAUAAACACACGCAAGCACUACCUGCACACACCCAC